RNAcentral lists this ribosomal RNA (1528 nucleotides) under Klebsiella pneumoniae. RNAcentral describes it as "bacterial SSU rRNA". It matches the Rfam family "Bacterial small subunit ribosomal RNA". The record is from RNAcentral. Lineage: Bacteria; Pseudomonadati; Pseudomonadota; Gammaproteobacteria; Enterobacterales; Enterobacteriaceae.
AGAGUUUGAUCAUGGCUCAGAUUGAACGCUGGCGGCAGGCCUAACACAUGCAAGUCGAGCGGUAGCACAGAGAGCUUGCUCUCGGGUGACGAGCGGCGGACGGGUGAGUAAUGUCUGGGAAACUGCCUGAUGGAGGGGGAUAACUACUGGAAACGGUAGCUAAUACCGCAUAACGUCGCAAGACCAAAGUGGGGGACCUUCGGGCCUCAUGCCAUCAGAUGUGCCCAGAUGGGAUUAGCUAGUAGGUGGGGUAACGGCUCACCUAGGCGACGAUCCCUAGCUGGUCUGAGAGGAUGACCAGCCACACUGGAACUGAGACACGGUCCAGACUCCUACGGGAGGCAGCAGUGGGGAAUAUUGCACAAUGGGCGCAAGCCUGAUGCAGCCAUGCCGCGUGUGUGAAGAAGGCCUUCGGGUUGUAAAGCACUUUCAGCGGGGAGGAAGGCGUUAAGGUUAAUAACCUUGGCGAUUGACGUUACCCGCAGAAGAAGCACCGGCUAACUCCGUGCCAGCAGCCGCGGUAAUACGGAGGGUGCAAGCGUUAAUCGGAAUUACUGGGCGUAAAGCGCACGCAGGCGGUCUGUCAAGUCGGAUGUGAAAUCCCCGGGCUCAACCUGGGAACUGCAUUCGAAACUGGCAGGCUAGAGUCUUGUAGAGGGGGGUAGAAUUCCAGGUGUAGCGGUGAAAUGCGUAGAGAUCUGGAGGAAUACCGGUGGCGAAGGCGGCCCCCUGGACAAAGACUGACGCUCAGGUGCGAAAGCGUGGGGAGCAAACAGGAUUAGAUACCCUGGUAGUCCACGCCGUAAACGAUGUCGAUUUGGAGGUUGUGCCCUUGAGGCGUGGCUUCCGGAGCUAACGCGUUAAAUCGACCGCCUGGGGAGUACGGCCGCAAGGUUAAAACUCAAAUGAAUUGACGGGGGCCCGCACAAGCGAUGGAGCAUGUGGUUUAAUUCGAUGCAACGCGAAGAACCUUACCUGGUCUUGACAUCCACAGAACUUUCCAGAGAUGGAUUGGUGCCUUCGGGAACUGUGAGACAGGUGCUGCAUGGCUGUCGUCAGCUCGUGUUGUGAAAUGUUGGGUUAAGUCCCGCAACGAGCGCAACCCUUAUCCUUUGUUGCCAGCGGUUAGGCCGGGAACUCAAAGGAGACUGCCAGUGAUAAACUGGAGGAAGGUGGGGAUGACGUCAAGUCAUCAUGGCCCUUACGACCAGGGCUACACACGUGCUACAAUGGCAUAUACAAAGAGAAGCGACCUCGCGAGAGCAAGCGGACCUCAUAAAGUAUGUCGUAGUCCGGAUUGGAGUCUGCAACUCGACUCCAUGAAGUCGGAAUCGCUAGUAAUCGUAGAUCAGAAUGCUACGGUGAAUACGUUCCCGGGCCUUGUACACACCGCCCGUCACACCAUGGGAGUGGGUUGCAAAAGAAGUAGGUAGCUUAACCUUCGGGAGGGCGCUUACCACUUUGUGAUUCAUGACUGGGGUGAAGUCGUAACAAGGUAACCGUAGGGGAACCUGCGGUUGGAUCACCU